GUGGGGAAUCUUGCGCAAUGGGCGAAAGCCUGACGCAGCCAUGCCGCGUGAAUGAUGAAGGUCUUAGGAUUGUAAAAUUCUUUCACCGGGGACGAUAAUGACGGUACCCGGAGAAGAAGCUCCGGCUAACUUCGUGCCAGCAGCCGCGGUAAUACGAAGGGGGCUAGCGUUGCUCGGAAUUACUGGGCGUAAAGGGCGCGUAGGCGGACAGCUUAGUCAGAGGUGAAAGCCCAGGGCUCAACCUUGGAAUUGCCUUUGAUACUGGCUGUCUUGAGUUUGUGAGAGGUGCGUGGAACUCCGAGUGUAGAGGUGAAAUUCGUAGAUAUUCGGAAGAACACCAGUGGCGAAGGCGACUCACUGGCCCAAUACUGACGCUGAGGCGCGAAAGCGUGAGGAGCAAACAGGAUUAGAUACCCGUGUAGUCC
RNAcentral lists this ribosomal RNA (425 nucleotides) under uncultured bacterium. RNAcentral describes it as "partial 16S ribosomal RNA". It matches the Rfam family "Bacterial small subunit ribosomal RNA", at positions 354 to 796 of the family's 1533-position model. The record is from RNAcentral.